Molecule: long non-coding RNA, 201 nt
Organism: Notothenia coriiceps (black rockcod)
Lineage: Eukaryota; Metazoa; Chordata; Actinopteri; Perciformes; Nototheniidae
Exons: 2
Source: RefSeq, a predicted model, not a curated record
CGGAAACCAGUCGUUUAGGUAUAAAUUCAUUUCCGCUUAUUGUUAAGGUCCUUUCCUGUCAACGGCCUUUCCGAAGAUGGCGGUGCAAAUCUCCAAGAAGAGGAAGUUCGUGGCAGACGGUAUCUUCAAGGCAGAGCUGAACGAGUUCCUGACUCGUGAGCUUGCUGAGGAUGGCUACUCUGGUGUGGAGGUGCGUGUGAC